AACGAACGCUGGCGGCAUGGCUAAAACAUGCAAGUCGAGCGCGAAAGUUUCCUUCGGGAAGCGAGUAGAGCGGCGGAAGGGCGAGUAACGCAUGGGUAACGUACCUCUAGCACAGGGAUAGCUCACCGAAAGGUGUGGUAAUACCUGAUGAUACCGCUGUCACAUAAGUGGCUGGCGGUCAAAUGGUGGGGACCCUUCGGGGCCUACCGGCCAGAGAGCGACCCAUGUCCUAUCAGCUUGUUGGUGAGGUAGAGGCUCACCAAGGCUACGACGGGUACCGGGACUGAGAGGUCGGCCCGGCGCAUUGGGACUGAGACACUGCCCAGACUCCUACGGGAGGCUGCAGUAACGAAUAUUCCGCAAUGGGCGAAAGCCUGACGGAGCAAUGCCGCGUGUGGGAUGAAGCUCUUCGGAGUGUAAACCACUGUCAGGGACUACCAAGCGGAGGGGGCCAAUACCCCCCCGAGUUGAGGAAUCCCAGAGGAAGCCACGGCUAACUUCGUGCCAGCAGCCGCGGUAAUACGAAGGUGGCUAGCGUUGUUCGGAAUCACUGGGCUUAAAGAGCACGUAGGCGGCCCUACAAGUGUUUUGUGAAAUCCCCCGGCUCAACCGGGGAACUGCAUAGCAAACUGUAGGGCUUGAGGCAAGUAGAGGUACAUGGAACUCUUGGUGGAGCGGUGGAAUGCGUAGAUAUCAAGAGGAACGCCGGAGGCGAAAGCGGUGUACUGGGCUUGUCCUGACGCUGAGGUGCGAAAGCUAGGGGAGCGAACGGGAUUAGAUACCCCGGUAGUCCUAGCUGUAAACGAUGCCUACUAGGUCGGAGGGCUUCUGACAGUUUUCCGGUCGAAACUAAAGCGAUAAGUAGGC
This 867-nucleotide ribosomal RNA is filed under the name uncultured Planctomycetota bacterium. Its description in RNAcentral is "bacterial SSU rRNA". It matches the Rfam family "Bacterial small subunit ribosomal RNA", at positions 28 to 869 of the family's 1533-position model. The record is from RNAcentral. Lineage: Bacteria; Pseudomonadati; Planctomycetota.